This 329-nucleotide ribosomal RNA is filed under the name uncultured eukaryote. RNAcentral's name for it is "partial 18S ribosomal RNA". It matches the Rfam family "Eukaryotic small subunit ribosomal RNA", at positions 1470 to 1796 of the family's 1831-position model. The record is from RNAcentral.
CCCUUAGAUGUUCUGGGCCGCACGCGCGCUACACUGACGAUGGCAACGAGUUUUUCCUUCGCCGAAAGGUGUGGGUAAUCUUUUGAAACAUCGUCGUGCUGGGGAUAGAUCAUUGCAAUUUUUGAUCUUGAACGAGGAAUUCCUAGUAAGCGCGAGUCAUCAGCUCGCGUUGAUUACGUCCCUGCCCUUUGUACACACCGCCCGUCGCUACUACCGAUUGAAUGGUUUAGUGAGGACUCCUGAUUGGCGCCGCCGCCCCGGCAACGGAGCAGCGGACUGCCGAAGAGUUGUUCAAACUUGAUCAUUUAGAGGAAGUAAAAGUCGUAACA